Molecule: long non-coding RNA, 31178 nt
Filed under: Malus domestica (apple)
Lineage: Eukaryota; Viridiplantae; Streptophyta; Magnoliopsida; Rosales; Rosaceae
Description: long non-coding RNA (MDOM_LNC007054)
Source: RNAcentral
UUUUUUUUUUUUUUUAGGCUGGACAUAAUUUUGUCAUCAGUGUGCAAAAUAUAUUAUGGUAUGAAAAAUGAUGAAAUUUUUUCUUUUGUGAAUGGUUAAUUAUAUUAUCUCUCUUUUUCACUUGGGUUUUGGUUAGUCUGCAAACUUGGAGGGUGGGAUGUGUUUUUCACAAUGAGUUUGGCUUGAUCUGCAAUUUGACUAGGUUAACAGGAUUUGAGGUUAUGGUUAACGAUGAUGGAGGUCCACUAGUGGCUAUGGUGAUGGUUGGGAGCCUGAGAUGAGAUACGGAACUGUUGGGUUUUUUUUAUCUUCACAAGUUUCUUUAUUUGUAAUUUUAUUUUAAUUCAAUUAUAUUUUUGUCCUUUUAUUUUCCAAAAUAAAUAAACUUAAUUUUGACCAAUUUUAUUUAACAGAAGACUAACGGAACUUUGAAUUUGGACCUUAAUUGCUAACAGAGCUCACCAUGAGGGUUUAAUUAAUAGAUUUUUCACCACAAGGGUUACAUUAAAAGUGGUGUGUCACCACAGGGACUACAAAAAAAAUUUGGCCUAAAUUAAAUUACCAUUAUGGUUGUGUUUGCCGAACUUGUAAGUAUUGAAACUGAACUUAAUAAAUUCAACAAAAUUUCAACAUAUCGUGUCUUAUAAGUCCCAUCCAGAGAAGCGAGACUCUACAAAACUUCGACUCAAUGCACGUAUUUUUCCGAAAUCAAGCAACUAUUUCUAAGCUCUCUCCAAUAUAUACACAUUGUCAUUUUUCAAAAAGUAAUAACAAAAAAAAAUACAUGGAAAGAUUUAUUGCAGCAUUAAGUCCAAACAUUCACAAGAUCAGAGAGAAUUUUUGAGGAACAAGAUCAAGAAAACAAUAAUAUGAACACAUACAAUGUUUUUUUAAAUCUAAUCCUUGCCUAUACCAAGACCCCGGUUACCUUCGGUACCAGUCCAAAAAUGAAUAGAAAGAGCGAACGCAUCACGUUCAUCUUCAACUGCGGUUCACUAAAACCCUGCUUUUUUCGUUUUCACGUCUAGAGGUUAAAUUACAUGACAAGACGCUAGAAGCUUAGCCCAUUUUCCUGUAGACAAAAACCAAAAUUGUACACGCAUUCCUACUUUCCGUCUUAUAGAUCCACAGUCGAUACUUUCUUAGUUAGAGCAACAAGUUCUCUUGUUCAUGUCACCUGAAAUAUUUCCAACAUUGAUGGUAGUUCCUUGAGGGAGUCCAGUUGAAACUGCCUCCUGUGCUGCUAGUGCCUUCUUGCUUAUUAUGUGAUAAAUGUCCAACAAAAUGGUCUGAAACGCAUUCUCGACAUUGAAGGCCUCCAAUGCUGAAGUUUCGAGGAACGAGAGGCCUUCCUUCUCGGCCAAGGUUUGAGCAUCAUCUGCUGGAACUGCUCUCAAGUGAUUCAAGUCAGAUUUGUUUCCGGCCAUCAUUAUAACAAUGUUAGAAUCUGCAUGGUCUCUUAGUUCGCGGAGCCACCUCUGCACGUUGUCAAAUGUUUGCCUCUUGGUUAUGUCAUACACCAUUAAGGCACCAACAGCCCCUCUGUAGUAAGCACUCGUUAUGGCUCGGUACCUCUCUUGACCUGCCGUGUCCCAUAUUUGUGCUUUCACAGUCUUCCCCUCUAUCUGCAUCAGAAUAAAAGGUUAUAUCUUGAUGAGCAAGCAGCUAUUCCUGAAUGUAUUGCUUUUCGGUGUUUAAUAAAAAGCUUGCUUAACAAAUAAAAAAAAAAAGAAAAAAAAAAGAAGCAAAAGCAAGUAAUGAAUCGCUUCGAUUUCAGAUUAGAAGGGUUUUUUUAAUAAUCACCGAUUAUAAUUGUUUUUUUAGUAAUCACCGAUUAUAAUUGUUUUUCACUCAAAAUUCACUCCACAUUAUUGUUUCCAUAUCUUCUGUCAAAAACCCGUAAAAAUGCUUGACCUGUAAGGGUAAAAUUGUAAUCACCGAUCAUAAUCAUUAUGGAAAUAAUUAGGGUUUGUUGAGAUUGAACAUCCAUCCAAAAAAUUCCCAUGAUCAUCUCUACAACCAGAGCAAAAACCAGUUCUUCAUUUACAACCCAUUCCCACCACAACCUAAUCAAUUAUAUUAUCAGCCAAAAGACUAAUGAUCCAUCCAAUCCCACCACUACGCCCAAAUUCAGGAAGAAAAAGCCAAAAAAACCAAGGAAAAAAGAAAAAAAAAAUCAAACUCUGCAAAUUUCUCUCCUAUCCACCAUCGGUCUUAAGCCUCUGCUUCGCAAAUUUCUCCAACCUACAAUCCUUCAUCUCCAUUUUACCAAAUAUCCAUCUCCUUUUUUCACAUGGACGCCACAUAUGCAUUUUUUAAUCCACGUCAGCAUUUUGACAGCUAUUUGACCGAAGAAACGCAAACGGAGUAAAAUGUAGCGAAUUUUGAGUUUGAUGACUUUUGAUUUACAGGGACAAAGUACGAUCAAAAUCAAGUUACAUAGGAUGUAGCUAAAAAUAAGCCAAUAAAAAUGACAAUCCCUUCUGAAGCUCUCUGCUAUGCACAACAAGAGAAGCCCCGCACAGAGCUCUGCCACUAACAAUUCAAUUAUAUCUUGAAACCGGCCACGUUGGUAUUGUAACACGGUAGGGUUGGAUAGAUUUUAGAACCAAAUGUUACCAAACAAUAUUCUGCAGAAUGGCAGUGUUCUACGUAGAUUGUCCAUGGCACGGACGUAAACUGGAUCAUAACGUAGGGCAACACUGGUACUAUACCUUAAAGAGUAUCACAAGCUAUAAACAAAUUUGAUAUACACGAAGGGUAACUAAAACUCAAUUCCAUUGUUUGGUAAGAACAACCACAAACAAAUUAGCAAAAACCGAAAUGGUUAUCAGAUGGAUGCUAAGGUUUUUGUACUACGUGAAACUUUGCCUCGAGAAAUCGAAACAACUAUCAGGAGACAAUUAUACGGAUUUCCUACAAUUCUAUAAAUAAUGUAUUCUUUCACCAUUGUUUCAAUUCAAACAAAAAUUAAAGAACAGAAAAGCUAGAAGCAGGAAAAUUGCAACUGAUCAAUAUUUUCCAAACAAAACCAACCUGCAAUGUCCUAGUUGCAAAUUCAACUCCAAUGGUGGACUUAGACUCCAAAGAAAACUCAUUCCUCGUAAACCUCGAAAGAAUGUUCGAUUUUCCGACACCCGAAUCUCCAAUCAAUACAAUCUUGAAGAGGUAAUCGUAUUCGUGAUCCACCUUGUACGCCAUACGUUCUACUCCUCACACACACACCCCACAACACCUGCCCAGAUCCAGAAUUCACCAAACAAAAAGCUUUUAGCAGUCAAAAAACCAAAAAAAUAAACCCAUUCUCUUGUUUUGACAGAAGGGAUGAGAAAAGUGCUGAUCAGAGAGCAUUUUCUUUACCUACGGUUUCUUUCCAAUGUGAUUUUCCCGAGAAACAAACGGAAAUUGGGUAAUCAUAAAACAAUGGCGCGUAGAAUGGUGAUUAACAAAAUAGAGGAUUUUUUGAAUGUUGGGUUUUGUUGUGUUUGCAUUGAAGUUUGUGGAAACAGAGGAGAGGAGAAAAGAAGAAGAAAAAGAUGGCGUUGUACAAAGUUAGAAACAGAACAACGGAUGAAAAUGCACUUAAAACGGCCUUUCAAGAGGGAAACGAUGCGCCGAAUUCGGAGUCUGUGUAAAGUAAACGACCUUUCAUAAGACAUGCCACAUAAAAUUUAAGCCCAUUCUCAAUGUGGGCUUAGGGCAUAUGUUUGUAACCCACUGAAAAGCUCCGUUAGGUUUCCUAUCACACACAUUAUUUAUCUCUCUACACACUUAUGUCAUGUAGUCAUGUUUAAUCAUAUCGGUUGACUAUUGAUUUUAUCAACUUCGGUGACUAAAAAUUAAGAAAUGAGUGCAAUUAUCAUUUCUAACUGUUUUAAAAUGUUAGGAUGAUUCAUAAACAAAUUGGAAGUUCAAAAGAUAAGUCGGAAUGAGCCCCUAAAUUCAAAGGGCAUUUGCCAUGUCUCUCAGUUUUGUGAAUCAUUAAAAGUGACAUUAUCUAUCCUUACAUAUUUUGUCUUUGCUGCACAAAGUGACUACUACUACCUACCACUACAAACCUAACCUCUUACACCACCAUUGUUACCACCACGCCACCACCACGACCAUAACACACAGGCGUCACCACUGCCACCACUUACCUCUGUAGCCCAACCACCACACCCCUUAAUCAGUAGCACCAUCACCACUAUCACAACCUUUGUCCUAGCCACCGUUGUCGACGUCAUCACACAAAUUAUCAUGUCCAUUUUUGUUAUUAUAUACAAUUAUAUCCUUUUACAUUAAAUUUUACCAAAAAUGCUUUUACAAUGCUUUUCAUACUCACAACACUUAUAAAAAUACAGUUAUCAAACGCUCAACUGCUUUAUUUUGUAGCUGAUUAUUCUUAAAGCACAACAUAAACAGUUUUUUGUUUUAAAAGCAUAUUACUCCCCAACUGGCCCUAAGUCCAUAAAUGAGUCAUCCAAAGCAAAACCGGUCUUGAGUUUUUUGGUGCCCAGAAAAGGAUCAGAAGGUGCCUUUUCUUAAUACACAGGUAUAUAUUAAAAAUAAAUAUUUAAAAAGGGUGGGCCAAGCCCUUCAUACAUAUUAUAUUACUCAAGUGCAAAGGUAAACGUUCAUAGCCACUUUAAACUAUAAUCAUUAAGGUUAUCUCCAACUGAAUGCUGGCCAAAUGGCUUGUUUUAGUCAUCUGACCCUCCAAGAAAUUAAUAUUUUAAUGAACUGUGCAUGAUCAUAUUUCUUACCAUCUCCAACCGAGGGCCAAACAUAAUUUAUUAUUUAAAUUUAAAAACUACAACUUAAAUUAAAAAACUACAACUAAAAUUUAAAAAAUACAACUUAUAUAUUUCAAGUCAAAUGUGAGAGGUUUUAUUUAGAGUAAAAAAAAAGAAGAGGAAAUAAGUGGGAGAGGAAGUAGGAGAAACUAAAAAUGUGGAAGUGGGUGGGAGAGGAAGUAUAAAAGUAUAAAAAAAAAUGGAAGUGGGUGGGAGUCCCACAUCGGUUGUGAGAAAAAUUUGAGCAAGUUCCAAAGCUUAUAAAAAGAACACCUAAACAUUCAAUGAAACAUACUUUCUGGGCCUAUAAUUGAAUAUAUUUUAAAAAAAAAAUUUGGCCAACAAAAAAAAAAUUCAAAUAACUGUUAAAAAAAAAAAAACGGCUAGUUGACAGUUGCUUUUGAAUUCCAGCCCGGCCUGGGGCCGGCUGGUUGGCCCUUUGGCCCUUUUUUAUCUAGUGGGGCCCACAAGCCUUUUGGCCUAGUCCUUGGUUGGAGACGAUUUUAAGGCUAUUUUCGACCCUCUGACCAUCUAGAUCUUUUGGUUGGAGAUAGCCUGACAGAAAAAAAAUUGAACAUUUUAUGAGACUUCUCUCUCCGAAGAGGUCCAAUAUUUAAGUACUAGCAAACUUAUUCGGUUCUUUAAUUAUCAUCACAUUAAAUGCCUAGAAAGGUUUUGCCCAACUCAAUCAACACGAGUCAACAAAUUUCAAGAAUAGUAUCAAGUAUAAAGAGAAAUUAGAAGCCCCUGCAUUUUUAAAUACAUUUUAGAUCAAACAUUGGUUCUUCUCUAAGAUUUGAUUAAGAAGCUUUGACCAAUUGCCACAUCAACAUUUUUCUAUUUUUUAAAUUACAUAUAAUUUGUUUAAAGGCAUCUUCACUUCACCUUGUAACUAAUUGCUUACAAUAUAGGAAAUUUUAUUUUCCUGGUCCUUUAAACUCCUACGUUUUAAUGACUCUUUUGAUAUAAAAAAAAAUAAUUAAUUAAAGUAACUUAAACUUUUACAUUGUUAAACGACUCUUUCUAUAUAUAAAAAAAAAGGGUUGUUGAUGCACAAAACUGUAGGUCUUGGAACAACGUAAAUCUGACCGUGAAUCUGCAAGAAAGUAAAUAACACAAUAUGUAUCGUGGUUCACCCCAAUGUUUGGGUUACGUCCACAUUGAUAUUGUAUUGCUGAGAGGAUUGUGAUGGAAAGAGUGUGAGGAUCCUCAUGGCCUAGGAAUUGGCCUCCCCUAAUGGGGAGAGUGAAGAGUCAUUUUAUAGAAUAAGGGCUCCUCACUUAUUACAUGUUUGCCCAUUCCUUUAUUACAUAAUUACAUUUGAGUCAUCCAAGUAUUUAUACGAGAUCUAAAUACGGAUGCCCUAAGUAUGGUACAAACAGUAGUCCCCCAAGUCUUCAGUUAAGAGAGUCUUUUAGCUGGAGACUUGAAAUUCAGUUCAUGUGUGGGUCGAAGUAACUAGAUGUCGUCUAGAACUGAUACUCGAUAUGAGGCGGUGCCCAAUCUGAAAUGAUGCUCAACUCGAAGUAGCACAUGUUGCGAGGCUGCUCUGCUUGUGGCUUAUGUUGCCUUGGUUGACUCGGCUUGUGGCGUUUGAAGAUGAGGGAGUCCAUUUUAUAAAAUAAGGGUUUGCUCCUCAAUACAUAAAUGAUGGGCUAGGAGUGAUACACGCGGCGAGGCGAUUGCUCAGCGGGCGGCGAUGCUCUCUAAUGAAGGUGAGGGAGUCCCUUUUAUAAAAUAAGGGUUCGCUCCUCAAUACAUAAGUGAUGGGCUAAGUCCCCUAAGUAUUUUUUAUGAGGCCCAAUAUAUGGUACAUAGUGUAGUCCCCCAAAUCUUCGGUCAAUAGAGUCUGUUGGCUGGAGACUUCAAAUUGAAUCCAUGUAUGGGCCGAAGUGGCAGUUGUUCGAAUACGGUAUUUGUAUAUCCUGCAUUGUAGAUUUGUAGGUGAAGCUUUGCAAGUGAAGCUUUGAAGCCAGAGCUCUGUAAAUGAAGCUUUCGAAGCUGGAGCUUUUGUAAAUGAAGCUUUUGAAGCUAGAGUUCUGUAAAUGAAGUUUUCAAAGUUAGAACUCUGUAAAUGAAGCUUUUGAAGCUAGAUUGACAUGAGUGAUGCUCAUGAAUGUUUAUGUUGAUUGACAUGAGUGAUGCUCAUGGAUGUUGACAUGAGGGAUGCUCAUGAAUGUUAACAUGAGUGAUGCUCAUAAAUGUUGACAUGAAUGAUGGUCAUGAAUGUUUAUGUAUGAUUGACAUGAGUGAUGCUCAUGAAUGUUUAUGUAUGAUUGACAUGAGUAAUGCUCAUGUAUAAUUUUGAAGUACUGGACGUACUUUUGAUCACCUGGUUGGUGAUAAUAGCAGCAGGGUGCCGAAUAAUUUUGGAGUACUGGACGUACUUUUAAUCACCUGGUUUGUGAUAAUUGCGGUAGGGUGCCAAUUAAAUUUGGAGUACUGGGCGUACUUUUGAUCACCUGGUUAGUGAUAAUAGUGGCAGGCUGCAGAAUAAUUUUGGAAUACUGGACGUACUUUUGAUCACCUGGUUGGUGGUAAUAGCGGCAGACUGCCGAAUAAAUUUUUGUAGUACUGAACGUACUUUUGAUCACCUGGUUUGUGGUAAUAGAGGGCAUGGCUCUUUUGGGCAUAUGAGCCUUCACCCUUCACACAACAUUCCAGCCCAUUAUUUUGGGCUUGCCGUUUUUUUUUAUAUUUUUUAUUACCCUCUGAUAGGGUUUAUACAGAUGUUUUCGAAAGAUAAGAAAAAUAAUUAUAUGUUUUCCGUAUGUUGAUGGGCAUCUUCUAGUCUAACAAAGUGGAGACGGGAAACCUUGGUGGGUAUCUUCUUAUUUUUUAUCAUGUUAUCCCGUGGGAUAGUAGAGUAGUGGAAUAGUGGAGCAUCUUCUUUUCGGCUUUUCCUUUUUUGCUUUCUUUUGCUUUUACUUUCUCUUUUCUGCUUUUGUUUCUCAUGUGCUCCCGAGGAGAGCCUCCCUUUUUCUUUUUCUUUUGCUUUUGUUUCUCGCAACUCACUUGAUUGCUUUUGCCUUUCUUCUACAUCUUUUCUGCUUUGCUUUUGUUUUCCCAUGUGCUCUCACAGAGAAAUUGAAGAGAGAGAGAGAGAGAUAGAGAGAGAACAGAUCUGCAGUGGUUUCUCUCUAAGAAUCGAACCAGGCCCCUUUUUAAUCCUCCUGCCUGAUUUGUAUUAAGAAAUGAAUAAGCUUCACUUUUCCAGAGAAAGGAAUAAGCUUCAAUUUAUAUGGUCUUCGUGGGCAACGUGAUGAGAGGCGGUAAUUUGAAGAGAAGGGAAAAAGCUUCACUUCCAAAUCUCCCAUUUGUAUCAAAUAUGUCGAUCCAAUUUUAGGGUUUCAAAAUUCGUUCUCUCUCUCUGCGAUUCGAUUUAUGGGGUUUCUGAUUUCUCUCUGUGAUUAAUCAUGGCGACCAACAACAAGGAGAGCAAUGUUCAGGAGGAAUUGAGCCCUCUUCUGAGCAAGCAAUUCGAGGAGAACCAGAAGGAUGCUGAGAAGCCUGCCAAGGCCUCGCAGAAGAAAUCGCUGAUGGAUGUGGGGCAUGUGAAUGGAGGUGGUAAUGGGUGAAAGCAUAUCAAUGGUGUCUAGGAAUAUAGUAAAUGAGUACCUGGCCUAAGGUAAUUGGGAGUAGCCUUCCGGUGGGAGGUCCAUGACGGCUCCCACCUAAAGUACGAGAAGAAAAUGCACUGUUAUAUAUCAAUUUCCAUCUCCCUUGCAGUUUAUCAAGAUCAGUUGAGAGAUCCACUGGACCUCCAGCAGCUUUAAUCUCCUUGGCAGCAGCUUCUGUCUUUUGUAGAUCCUCUCCCGAUGUUGCAAGACCUCUAUUUAGCCCAGAAACAGCACUCAAUAGGUUGAGCUUUAAAGACACUACAAGUUCAAGGUUAGGCGUGGUUUUGCUUCUGGAAGAUGGCGACUAUGGUGGCGGCGGUUCGAGAACAGAACCUCGUCCACAGUUGCUCUCAGAGCAAAGCUUUUGGUGUGACGGCGAUUUGACAAAACAAAACAGAGGCGUUUUGGGCAGGGUGGUUUGCUUGGAAUAACAUAGUUUGCAGAAGAAGUAGAAGGUGAUGGAGAGAGCUCAGAGAAGCCAUGGCCACAGUCGGAUUUACGAUAUUGGUUAUGUGGUUAAGCCAUGUUCUGAAAAGCAUAAUGCUGACCAUGUUGCUGCCUCUCUGAAGCAGAAAUGCGCUCUCCUGACCUUGUGGCCCCACUAGGAGCCCAUUCCUUGGAUGGAAUAAGGGCACCCAUUUUUUGAGGAUCCAUGGACCUGACAUGUCUUGGGGCUGGAAAGGCUGCUGCAUGUGAUUCAUUUGAGUUUUGUAGGAGAAAAAAAGAGAGGGUAGCUUGUUUUUGGUUCUUGGUUUCUGCAGAUUCACGGUGGAGGUGAAAAAAUGAAAGAGAACCGACAUAACUUUUCAUGUCGAUUCCCACAGAUGGCGCCAAAUGUUGAUGCACAAAACCAGAGGUCUUGGAACAACGUAAAUCCUACUGUGAAUCUGCAAGAAAGUAAAUAACACAAGAUGUAUCGUGGUUCACCCUAACAUUUGGGCUACGUCCACACGGAUAUUGUAUUUCUGAGAGGAUUGUGAGGGAGAGAGUGUGAGGAUCCUCAUGGCCUAGGAAUUGGCCUCCCUUAUCUUUUAUAAAAUAAGGGGUCUUCACUUAUUACAUAUUUGACUCUUCUUUUAUUACAUAAUUACAUUUGAGUCCUCCAAGUAUUUAUACGAGAUCUAAAUACAGAUGCCCUAAGUAUGAUACAAACAAGGGUAAAGUACAAAAAACUACCUCAACUAUUAAUAUCACGAUACUUUCAUACCUCAUCUUUUAAAAUUGACAAUGUCAUACUUUAUCUUUAGAAUUUGGUCCAAUGUUAUAUUUUAUGUUACUUGGUCGUUUACUUUUCAAUAAAAUGCUAACGUGACUUGAUUCGGAGCCCAUUUUCUAUUAAAAAAUCAUUAAAAUAUUAUUAAAAACUAAAAAAAAUUAUUUAAUAUUUUUUAAAUAUUAAAAUAAUAAAAAAGUAAAAAAAAAAAAAAGAAAAGAAAACAACCCUAAGUUCGUCCCUCCCCCUUCCCCCUCCUCUCUUCUCCCCAUCUUCAUCUUCUUCCCCUCACCUGCAACCCCCAACAAAAAAAAAAAAAAAAAAAAAGAAAGAAAACAACCCUAAGUUCGUCCCUCCCCCUCCCUUCUCUUCUCCCCAUCUUCAUCUUCAUCUUCAUCUUCUUCCCCCCCUAAAAAAAAAACUCAGAUCUCGUCAGCGGGAAGAUGGGUGUGGAGAAGGUGAAGGAUGGGUGCGGAAUAUGAUGUGGAGAAUGGAUGAGAGUGGUGGAUUUGGGGUUAGGGUUGGGUUUAGGGGGGGGACGAACUGGGUUGGGUUGGGGGUUUUUUUUUUCGUUUCUUCUUCAUCUUCUUCCUCCUUCUUUCUAGGUUGCUGGGGGUUGGGGGGGCGAACUGGGUUGGGUUGGAAUAUUUUUUUUGCCCUUUUCUUCUUCUUCCUCCUUCUCCUUCUUCUUCCUCCUUCUCCUUCUUCUUCUUCUUCUUCGGGGGAGGGGGGUUGAUGGGUUUUCAAAUUUAUUUAUUUUUGGUUGAAGAUUAAGCAAGGAAGAAGAUGAAGAUGGGGAGAGAGAGGAGGCAAGGGACGAACAGAGGGAUUUUUAUUUUUUAUUUUUUACUUUUCUUUAUUAUUAAAAAAUAUUAAAUAAAUUUUUUUUAGUUUUUAAUAAUUUUUUAUUAAAAAAUGGGCUCCGAAUCAAGUCACGUCAGCAUUUAAUUGAAAAAUUAAAUGGCCAAGUAACAGAAGAUAUAACAUUGGACCAAAUUCUAAAGAUGAGGUAUGACAUUGUCAAUUUUAAAAGAUGAGGUAUGAAAGUGUCGUGACACCAAUUGAGGUAGUUUUUUGUACUUUACCCAAAAAAAUAAAUAAUUAAAGUAACUCCUUAUUAGACCAUCUCCAAUGGUGGGCUAAAUACUAAAUUAGCCCCCAAAUUCCCCCCCCCCCAAACAAUCUCCAACCCAUGCUAAAACAUUAGGCUAAAUGCCAAAUGUUAAAGUGGGCCAAAUACCCCCCAAAAUUUCCCCCAUGCGACUGGACUCGCUGGUAAUUGAGCCAUUCUCAGCCCGAUCACGCUCCAACGCGUCCCAUGCGGUGCGCUUGCAAACCUUUCCUGACAGGGGUGUGCCCCUCUGUCAGCCGUUUGUCUACCACCCAAAAAUCCCAACAGCUAUAAUUUGAAUCCAAAGGCUUGGUUUAACAGACCGUUGGUUGAUCCAACGGUCCAGAUUCAAAUUUAAUUUCUUUAAAUAUGUUAUUUUAAAAUACAUUGAAUUCAACGACUGAGUUCGAAUAUAAUCAAAUCUAACGGUAAAAAAAUAAGAUCUAACGGCCCAAAUUUAAAUCUAACGGCUAAAAUAAUUUAAAAAAAUUAUUUAACUCAAAAUUCACCCAAAAACUCUAUAAAUACCUAUGUAUUUGGUUAAACAUCCUCACAAAACUCAAUUUUCUCCCACAAUUCUUCCAAUUUAUCUUUUUACCAUUUCUUUCCAUUUCCAAAUUAUUCAACAUGACAAGAGAGCAUAUUAGAGGUCGUAAUUGGACCUGUGAGGAAGAUGUUGUUUUAUGCUUGGCAUGGUUUUCUGUUAGCGAAGAUGGUGGAGUUGGCACAAAUCAAAAUAAGAAGGUUUUGUGUGAUAAAAUCAUUGCAAAGUUUCAAGAAAACUGCAAUGGUGGCGGGCAUGAUGGUGGUGGUGUUUAUGAUCGAUGAAAGACUAUCAACAAAGCAUGUACUUUAUGGAAUGGAAGCUUGGAGAAAGCCGUGGUUAACAUGGCUAGUGGAAGGAAGGCCACAGAAAUUGUGAGUUUUGUUCUUAAUAUUUUAUUUGUCAUGUACAUAAUAUUAUUUUCCAACUAAGUAUUUUUAUGUAUUUUUUGCAUAAGGUGACAAAGCAAUGAGAAUUUAUAAGACAAGAGGAACACCAAAAAAUCAAGUUUUUAAGUUGCAACAUGCUUGGACGUCCUCAAGGAUUGUCUGAGGUGGAGAACCGAUGCAGACCAACAAUGGGGAAGAUUAUUUCAAUGUGAAGCCGCACAAACAAAUGCCAAAGAUGAAGGUGUCGAUGAAAUGACCCCAUCUCCUUCUUUUGCAAGGCCCCCGAGAAGAGAUAAGCAAAAGGAAGCAAAGAGAAAAGGGAAGUCCCAAGAUCCGAUGAGUGGACACUUUGGUACUAGAAUUGCAAAAUUGAACGAAAUCCAUAGCGCUUAUCAAGAAGAAACGGCCCGAAUGCGUUUGCAAAUGAAGGAAAUCUCAGAUAAGAAGCAAGAUAGGUUUGAAAUUGAAUUCAUGAUGGAGGACCUCAGCAAAUACACUCCAAAGAGGAAGUUCUUACGUGGUAAACAAAAUGAAAUUUUGCAAAAAUCUGCCUCAAGGAGUAUGUUUCAAGAUGAUGAAUCCUCUGAAUCCUACAUCCCAAGAUUUCAACGAAGUCCAUCACCAAGUGAAGAUGGUGGAUAUGAUUAUUAAGUUUAUGUAGAGUAUGAAUUAUGUGCUUUAUUAAUUGAGUUUAUUAAUUGUUGAUUGUAUUAAGUUGAUGUAGUUUAUUAAUUAUGUGGUUUAUGAAUUAUCGGUUGUAUUAAGUUUAUGUGGUCUAUGUAUUAUCAGUUGUAUUGUUUCUAUUAAUUUAGAUGUCUUCAAUAAUUAUUGUACUUAUUAUUCCACACUUUGAUGUAGAAUAGAUGCCUUCAAUAAUUCAACGUACUAGACAAAAUAUUUUGCACAAGAAGACACUUCAAUUUAUUACUAGAAAAUAACAACACAGUACACUUAAAAUUAAUCUAGAUGCCUUCAAUAAUUAUUGUAUUUAUUAUUCCACACUCUUCUAUAUCACGCUACAAAUAUGAACGUCCUGUGACAGAACCACGAUGGCUAGAUUCGCCAUGGUGAUCAGAUUGCAUAAACGAGUUGACAAGUUCAACUUUGGCGUUGAACAAUUCUGCAUCCUCAGUCUCGAUCCUUGCUUGGUAUUGUGCCAUCUGCAUUGUCAUGCUACGUAUUCUUCUAUCAUCCAUUGAUGAGAUAUUGAGGAUUUUUAGGAAAUAAAAACUCUUUGAAAGUUGAAAGAUUGGUGAAUAUAGAGGAUGAUUGAAGGUUGAAAUGUUGUGUGAUCAACAAAUAUUGGAUAUAUGUUUAUAUAGAGGAUGAUUGAUGAAAGUGAUGCGAAAUAUAUAAGCACACAAAUUUAACCCUCUUUUUGACAAUUGUAGUAUAGAUGUAAGUAGGGAUCGUUCUAAACCGGGGAUUAGGAGGGAUUGCUAAAUCACUUGAAAACUAAUUUAAAAACAUAAAAACAAAGUUAAAAAUGUAAACAAAAGAUUUUAAAACAAGAAAGUAAAAGGGGGAUUUGAGUUUGGUGAAGUUGAAAGUAAAAACGAAUAAACUAAAAACUUAAAUAGAUUUUAAACAAAUUUGGGUUGAAUGGAUAAUGGAAGGCUAGCUAAGGGGUUCUUCUCCACACAUGUCUUGCUUGCAUACAAAAUGAUUUCCAAUUGCAUUUCAAUAACUUAUUAAUUCUCAACGCCCCAAAUUAACCGUGAAUUGCACUAAUUAACCCUCAGUUUUUCCACAAGUUAUUGGGUUGGAUGAUUGCAUACGACAACCCAAAACAUUCCCUACAAGUUCCCUACAUGAAUUGCAUAAUAGAGAUACAAGCAAGAAUCAUUAAGUUCUAUGAAAAACAUAAGCAUUGACGAGGCACUCGUUACUAUGAUUUGCAUGAAACUUAUGCCAAGGAUUUACUUAACACAAUCGUGACUAGCGACUUUUACUACUCCUGAAUAUAAGUUCAUAACGAUUAGGUGAAAUUCCCUUAUACUCUAGCAUCAUAUUUAUGCAUGCAAACUAAGUAUGCAUCCCUAAUCAACAUACAUAAACAUGUUAUCAAUCAAAUAGAUAAGUAAAUCGAAUUCAUAACUUAUGAAACGCAAUUAAAAGUAAUCAAAUCAUAUUGCAAGCAUUAACAUAGUUUCGAAUCCCCCCCUAGCCAAGGGGGGUUUAGUUCCUCAUUAUUACAAAACAAAGAUAAACAAAUUUAAACAUUGAAAAACAAAGGAAAAGAAAGCACACCUAAACGUUCCAACGAUCCAUGUUGGAUAGCAAGUGCGUCUAAGGACUUUUCUCCUUCUCUUUGCCGCAACAACGAGGUUGGAAUGAUGUUGAAGGGUUGGUUAUUUGGAGGAAUGGAUGGGAAGGGGUUUAGAUAUGUAGGAGAGGCAAGGAAAGGCUUGGAGAAUGGUUAAUUUCUGGAUGAUUUGAAUGAGGUUGAUGCCAUGGUAUUUAUAGGAAGAGGAUGGACUUGUUUAACACAAAAUGUUGGUGGAAUUGAGUAGGUGAGCAUGGCAAAGAGUGGGAAUUGUUGGUGGGUUAGGUAUUGAGUCAUCCACUCACAUGUCAUGGUUAGCUAAGCAUUGCAUCAUCCACUCACAUGUCAUGGUGAGCUAAGCAUUGCAUCAUCCACUCACAUGUCAUGGUGAGUUAAGCAUUGCAUCAUCACUAAAAAAAUCUGGUGGAAGUAAAACAAAGGGAAGGCCACGGCAUUGAUGAAUUUUAUGGGGUAUGCAUGGUUUUGAGUGAAGUUUUGGCCAAUCCUUUUAGAAAUUUAUCCCUUCUUGCAACUUGUAUUUGUUUCACCAGAUUUUUAGCAUGUUCUUAGCCUCUUUUGUCUUCAAAUUCGUCCAUCCAUCUUGCUCAUAUCAUAUGUAAUCCAUUACAAGCUCAAAACUGCUCCAAAAUGCACCAAAAUGCACUUUCUUGCUACCUUAGCCCUUUGGACCUACAAACACACGAAAAUGGCUUAAAGUACUAAAAUAACUAAGAACUAAUAAUGUAAAUGCAAGAAAACUAGUUAACUAAGUCGCAUAAAUAUGCGUCUAUCAGAAAGUUGAAUGUUUGGUGAAAGUUGAAAGUUUGGUGUUGAACGGUUGGUGAAUUGAAAGUUAGCCCAUGAUUGAAAGAUUGGUGAAAGUUGAAGGCUUGCUUUGUGAAAAAUUUAGUGAUUUUUCAAUAUUUAUCGCAAUUUAAAUUUUUUUAAAUUAAAAUGUUCAUAAAAUUAAUUUACGAUAGUUUAUAUAUUUAUUUUUAAAAAAUUAAUUUAAGAAAAAAAUCGCCUAAGUUUAUUCUUUAAUAAUCCCGGACUAAAAUUUUAGGCCAUAACAGUUGGAGUAGGAAAACUGUUUCUGAGCUAAAAUAUUUGGCUUUUAGCCCAACCAUUGGAGAUAGUCUUAUUAGGACAAAAAGUAAUAAAACUUAUGUUUUGAAAACAAAUGUACCAAAAAUUCAAGGAAACUUUAAUAAAAAACUCCCGGUACUGUUUACUUUAACGAAAAACCAUAUUUUUACACUAAAAAAUCAAUUCUGGUACUAUUCACUUUAUCUUUUAUUUUGUCCUUAUCGUUAAAACUCAAAUUUUUCAAGUCAAUUUAAUUAAUUUUCCUAAAAUUCAAAUGUACCAAAAAGCCAAAUGAACCAAAAAUUCAAAUGUACAAAGUAACCAAAUGUACCAUUAUAAUUAAACAUACCAAUAUAACCAAACACACCUAUCAACGAGUUUUGUUACAUUCUAUUUAAUUUACUAAAAUAACUAUUUUAAUAAAAAAUAAAAAAAAUCUUAAAUCAUCAUAAUUAGAGAUACAUAAAAAUUGGAAGAAAAAAGAAAAUGAUAUCGUGAAUAGACUUUUAAUGAAAUAAAAUUAAGGGUAAAUUACAAAAAAGUACCUCAAUUGUUGGUGUCAUGACACUUUCAUACCUCAUCUUUUAAAAUUGACAAUGUCAUACCUCAUCUUACGAAUUUGUGCCAAUGUUAUACCUCCCGUUAGGGUUGGCGUGAAUUUCUCAAUUAAAUGCUGACGUGGCUUGAUCCGAGACCAAUUUUCUAUUAAAAAUUAAUAAAAUAUUUUUAAAAACUAAAAAAAAAAUUUAAUAUUUUUUAAAUAUUAAAAUUAAAAAAAAAACCAACACUCAGUCAGUUCGUCCCCUCCCCCCUUCUCUCUUUUCUCCCCAUCAUCAUCUUCUUCCCUCUUCCUGCAACUGCAACCCAGAAAAAAGAAGAGAAAAAAAAAAAACCAGUUUGUCUUCCCCCCUCCCCACCCCCUCUUCUCCCCGCACCCAACCUCCCCAUCUUCGCACCCAACCUCGCACCCAUUACCUGCAACCCAAAAAAAAAAAAAAAACCCACAUCCUGUUGAGGUGGAAUCAUGAAACAUUCGCCAGGCCGAUUUUGAAGGUUGAGAACCUGGGCGCGGAGAAAAUAGGGAGGAUGGGUGUGGAGGAAAGAGGGUGGGUGCGCGGCGAGGGGGGGGCAGACGAACUGGGUUUCCUUUUUAUUUAUUCUCUCUCUUCCUGGGUUUGUUUGGGGGGGGGACCUAGGUUGGGUUGGGUUUUUUUUUUCCUUCUUCUUCCUCCUUUUCUUCUUCUUCUUCUUCUUCUUCUUCUUUCUGGGUUUGUUGGGGGGGGGGGACUGGGUUGGGUUGGGUUUUUUUUUUCUUUCUUCUUCCUCCUUUUCUUCUUCUUCUUCUUCUUCUUCUUCUUCUUCUUCUUCUUUCUGGGUUUGUUGGGGGGGGGGGACUAGGUUGGGUUGGGUUUUUUUUUUUCUUCUUCUUCUACUUCCUCCUCAUUUUUCCUCAUUUUUUCUGGGUAGCAAGGGGUUGGGUUUGUGAUGGGGGGAAGGGGAUGAACUGGGUUUGGUUUGGGAUUUAUUUUUUCAUUCUUCUUCUUCUUCUGCUUUCUGGGUUUGUUAUGGGGGGAGCCUGAGUUGGGUUGAGGUUUUUUUUUUUUUAUUGUCAAUCCUUCUUCUUCUUCUUUCUGGGUUGCAGGACGAGAGAGAGAGAGAUAGAGAGAGAGAGGGUGGGGAAGAAUGAACUGACCUGAGGAUUUUUUUUUUUUACUUUUUUUAUUAUUUUAAUAUUUAAAAAAUAUUAAAUAUAUUUUUUUAGUUUUUAAUAAUUUUUUAAUAGAAAAUGAGUCAUGAAUUAAGCCACGUUAGCAUUUAACUGAAAAAUUUACGACCAAAUAACGGAAGGUAUAACAUUAAUACAAAUUCGUAAGAUGACGUAUGACUUUGUCAAUUUUAAAAGAUAAGGCAUGAAAAUGUCAUCACAACACUAGUUAAGGUAAUAUUUUGUAAUUUAUCCUAAAAUUAAGUAACAAAAUUGUAGAAAAAAUGUUUAAUCAAAUUUGCAAAAGGAAUAGACGUUUAGUUUAUAACAUUUAAAAAGUUUUGCCCAUGCUUCUCAUGCUUUCUCGUGGCUCUAAUGGCUCUAAUGGCUCUAAUUCAAUGGUUUCUCAUGCUUCUCAGCCUCCCGUGCACUUUGUUGCUGAUGUUACUCACUCUACUCCUAACGGCGAUGCCCGAAAGGCAUGCAAAAAUCUCUUGUCACUUGGAACAACGCAACAAGCCAAAGUGCGAGAUUUCCCCUACCACAUCGGAUGUUCAUGUAAACAUGCUACAAAUCCUAGUUUGCAGCAAUAUCAUUAGUCCACCACCCAUAAGAUGGAAGGGCAGAUUCCAAAGCUCUGGUAGUUUUACUUGCGACAAGUAAAAUCAUUGGGGCACAGUAUUACCGUGCUAAUGGUGUUUAUACCAUAUUUAGGGCCUCGUAUUUAGAUCUCGUACAAAUACUCAGGGGACUUAAAUGUAAUUAUGGGAUAAAGGAAUGGGCAAAUAUGUAAUAAGUGAGGAGUCCUUAUUCUAUAAAAGGACCCCUCACCCUCACAAUUGGGAGAGGCUCAUUCUCACCCUCAGAGGCCAUUUCUGAAGCCUCUCACCCCCUCUCAAAGCUCCUCACAUCCCCUAAGCUCUCUCUCCCUCUUCAACAGAGAAAUAUAAUACAAUCAGUGUGGACGUAGCCCAAACCUUGGGGUGAACCACGAUACAUCUUGUGUCAUUUACAUUUCUUGCAGAUUUACGAUUGGAUUUACGUUGUUCCAAGACCCCCGGUUUUGUGCAUCAACAUUUGGCGCCGUCUGUGGGAAUCGAUACGAAAAGUUAUGUCGGUUCUUUUUCAUUUUUUCAUCUCCAUCGUAAAUCUGCAAAAAUUUGCAAAAAACCCAGUAACAAAAAAGAUCCAGAUCUCAAAAUCACUCAUCUCUCUCUCUGGAAAACUCUGCAGUCUUAAGAAACCAUCCAAAAACCAAAAUCCCAAAUAAAUCUUGUCGCACCAGUGGUUUUCUCGGAGACUUCGCCAAAGAACAAGCCGCUUGAAUUCUCCAACAAGAUAGAAAUUGCAGUGUCCCAAUGACUACAAAAUGAGCGACCACAAGGUCGCAGCAGCACCACCUGCACCUGAUCACCCACUACCAUCAUUCGGAAGACUAAGCUCCACACCCUAAAGUCGAUCUCAACGAAGUCGCUCCACCUCCCCACUCUGAAACUCGGACCUCCACCUCCCUUCAACACACUUUGUCAGUCUCUCUCUAUCUCUCUGUAAGUGUACCCAUCAAAGCUCCCACUUCGAUCGAUUCAGCAUCGAUGAUUUCGAGGUAGAAGAUGAGGUCCGACCCGACUUCCCGUGCCCGUAUUCCUAUGAGGACUUCGACAUCGCGUCCUUGUGCUUCCAUCUCGAAGACGAGCCCUCCUGCGAAUCCACAACCACCUACUGCUCAGCCUUAUCUAAAAAAAAUAGUGGGUUUCAAUGGUAGGUUUCUGGGUUCUUGCAGAUCUGAUUUCAGGCAACAACAGGAGGCUCGGCUUCAGACAACAAUUUCUGGUAUUUAUACCAUCUAAGAAAAGCAGAUCUCACGAGUUUCGAUGGUGGUUGUAGAGGGAAGCAAUGGGUUAAAUGUUCAAGCUGCAGCGGCGGGUUCGAUCUCUAGGACAGCUUCGGUCGGUGAGGGGUUGAUAGAUCAAUUUCGAUGCGGGUGGUAGUUUGACAAUAGGUUGUUGCGCGGUGCAUGAAUACAAUGCAGCAGGCGUGCGACACAAAACGAGUACGAGUCAUUGUCGAAGUUCGAACAGCUACUUCGGCACUGAUUUCAGAUUGAAUCUUCUAGUACACGGUUAAUUAGUCAGUGUAUGUUGUUCUUGUUUUAGAUUUUUAGAGAGAGAAAAUUAUGGGAUCUGGAAAUGGGGUUUAUUUAGUUGGGGAUUUCGAUUUGGAUGCCUUGUGGUUAAUAGAGAAGAAAAUGUAUGAACUCUGUUGAACGCGUCUCGCCGAUCAGACAACAGGCAAAGGUUGAGGUUUGGUUGAUGUUGCUGGAGAUAAUAAGCACAAGGAGAACAAGCAAGAUUGUGGUUUGGAGCCAUUGAUAUUGAAAGGGGAAGAAGAUGAGAGAGCAUCGCCAUGCACUACCGUUAUCAGAGGACCCAGUUCCCGCCCCAUGGCCCCACCAAUUCCACUCCAUCUUGGUGAUGAACUACACUGGAACCCUCUAGCUCAUUGACCUCUAAGCAGAAAGAAGAUGCAAGAAACAGAGAACUUGAGUGCCAUCUGCACUCUGCAAAGUAAAAGCAAAAGCUAAAAGAGAAAGAUUAUACUUUUGCUUUUGUCGACGGAUGCAUGUUCCUAUUUUUUAAAAGCUAGAGAAAAGCAAAUGGGCGAUGUCGGAAAGGCUGUCCAAAGCAGCUGUCAUUUUAGAGCAAAGCAGAAAGCAUGGCUACCCGAGAUCUGCGGUGGAAAAGAGCAAAGCAGAAAAUAUGGCUACCCACUGAGAUAAUUACAAAAGUAGAAAAGAAAAGAGAAAAACAAAAGUAAGGAAUAAACAUCCUACCAGAAUGAUGUAAUUUAUAUUAUUUUCGGAGACAUAUGUAUAAACCCCAUCAGUGGGUAAUAUGUAUAAAACCCAUCAGAGGGUAAUCGUCAAAAAAAAAAAAAAAAAAAAAAAAAAAAAAAAAAAAAAAGGAAAAGCCCAAAACAAAUGGGCUGACAUGUUGUGGAAGGCGAAGACCCAUAAGCUUGAAAUAGCACCAACCAGGCGAAGACUCAUGUCAUUCAUACAUAAACAUUCAUGAGCAUCACUCAUGAUAAUCAUACAUAAACAUUCAUGACCAUCAUUCAUGUCAACAUUCAUGAGCAUCACUCAUGACAACAUCCAUGAGCAUCACUCAUGUCAAUCAACAUAAACAUUCAUGAACAUCACUCAUGUCAAUCAGCUUCAAAAGCUUCAUUUACAGAGCUCUAGCUUCAAAAGCUUCAUUUACAAAAAGCUCCAGUUUCGAAAGCUUCAUUUACAGAGCUAUAGCUUCAAAGCUUCACUUGCAAAGCUUCACUUACAAAGCUUCAGUGCAGGGUAUACAAAUACCACAUUCGAACAACCGCCACUUCGGCCUAUACAUAGAUUCAAUUUGAAGUCUCCAGCCAACAGCCUCUAUUGACUGAAGACUUGGGGGACUACAUUAUGUACCAUAUAUUGGGCCUCAACUGGGCCUCAUAAAAAAUACUUGGGAGACUCUAGCCCAUCACUUAUGUAUUGAGGAGCGAGCCCUUAUUCUAUAAAAGGGACUCCUUCACUUUUAGAGAGCACUCAUGAAAAAUACUUGAGGGACUCUAGCCCAUCACUUAUGUAUUGAGGAGUGAGCCCUUAUUCUAUAAAAGGGAAUCCCUCACUUUCAUUAGAGAGCACCCAUUAUUCAUGUACUGAGGAGUGAACCCUUAUUUUAUAAAAGGGACUCCCUCACCUUCAUUAGAGAGAAACGCCGCCAGCUGAGCAACCGCCUCGCCGUGAGCAUCAACUCUAGCCCAUCAUUUAUGUAUUGAGGAACGAGCCCUUAUUCUAUAAAAGGGACUCCCUCACCUUCAACACCACAAGCCGAGCCAACCAAGGCAAUAUAAGCCACAAGCCGAGCAACCUCGCAACAUGUGACAGUUGAGCAUCAUUUCAGAUUGAGCACCGCCUCAUAUCGAGCAUCAGUUCAAAGAUAACAUCUAGUUACUUCGGCCCACACAUGGACUGAAUUUCAAGUCUCCAGCCAAAAGACUCUCUUGACUGAAGACUUGGGGGACUACUGUUUAUACCAUAUUUAGGGCCUCGUAUUUAGAUCUCGUACAAAUACUCAGGGGACUUAAAUGUAAUUAUGGGAUAAAGGAAUGGGCAAAUAUGUAAUAAGUGAGGAGUCCUUAUUCUAUAAAAGGACCCCUCACCCUCACAAUUGGGAGAGGCUCAUUCUCACCCUCAGAGGCCAUUUCUGAAGCCUCUCACCCCCUCUCAAAGCUCCUCACAUCCCCUAAGCUCUCUCUCCCUCUUCAACAGAGAAAUAUAAUACAAUCAGUGUGGACGUAGCCCAAACCUUGGGGUGAACCACGAUACAUCUUGUGUCAUUUACAUUUCUUGCAGAUUUACGAUUGGAUUUACGUUGUUCCAAGACCCCCGGUAAUGGAUUUGACGUAGGUGAUGCCCAAUUUUCAAGAGACACUAUUGAAAAUGAAACUCAUAUUCAUGAAAAAAAAGAAAUUUUGCAUGAGUUUAUAAGAGAUUUGGCUACUCUCUAUAUUGCUAAUUGGUUUUGUAGUGGAAUCCCAACUUUUUUCAUAGUAUCAGAACAAGUUGUUCAACGUGUAAAGCCAAAUGGCCACACGGGCUCCAUGUCAUCCCGUUGUGCUGUCCACGUGUUAAGCUUGAAAAUUUGUCACAGGCACAGAUUUAAAUAUCGAUAUUAUCGGCGAAAUAUCGCCGAUAAUAUCGAUUUUUCGGGUAAUGGAUAUUUAAAUAGGUUUCCGUGUGGUUUUCGUCCAAAUAUCGCGAUAUUAUCGAUAAUAUCGAUAAUAUCGCGAUAUUUUGGAAAUAUCGAGAUAUUUCGUUGAACGGUGCAAUCGGACUCCGAUUUCGAACGCCGGAGAAGAACGCCGGAGAUGGUGUGGCUGUUCCCGAGCCCAUUUCAUCCCAAAAACCUUGCAAAAACACGAAUUUUAACUUCAAUUUCACAUAUAUGCUUCAAAUUUCACGCAUGCAUCAACGAUUCAACAUAUGAUGUCGGUUUAGGGCUUAGGGUUUCAAUGGAAUCUCACCUGAAAAAUCGAUGACUGGGCCAACUCCUUGCUCAGCGGCGCACCACCAGAGACGACUGAGCCAAGUCCGACUUCGCCAGAGCCACGAUCAACGGCAACGAAGGAUCGAGAGAGUGGGCGAAGGAUCGAGAGAGUGGGAGAAGGGGGAGAUCUGUGUGUGUGUGGGUCGAAUGGAGAAGGGGGAGAAGAGAGGUCAGGCCUCAGAGAAGAAGACCCCGGAGGCCCGGGAAACAACCGUCAUCGCCAACACGCGCAUCGACUGGAAGGAGACCCCGGAGGCCCACAUCUUCAAGGCGGACCUCCCGGGGAUCAAAAAGGAAGAGGUGAAAGUAGAGGUGGAGGACGGGAGGGUCCUGCAUAUCAGCGGCGAGAGGAGCAGGGAGCAGGAGGAGAAGACGAAGAACUGGAGAAGGGAGAAGCUCAGAAGUUCUAGAGAGAAGAGAAAGACAGAAGUUCUAGAGAGAGAAGGAUCCAGAGUGAGACUCUGUGGGCGUGCGUGGUUUUGGCUUUUGGGGGGGGGGGUUUUGUCUGUGACACACUGACUCACUGACUCUCUCUUCUGCGUGUGAUGUGUGGUGGUGUGAGAAAAAAAAAGAAUCCAAUGCAAUGAUCCAAUCCAAAUAAUUCAAAAUCAAAUAAAAAAACAUAUAAAUAAUUCAAAAGCAUCUUCAAAUAAUUUUGACAAGACACUCACUCUACACAUAGAGAUGAUGAAGAUAGUGAAAAAAUUGAACCUCAUAGGAACUCUAUGUGGUACUAAAGUGUAAAAUGUUGUACUAAUUCAUUAUAUAUAAAUGAUUAUGGUGUGUUUAGACUUCUUUCAUUAAUUACUACAUAUUUUUUACACUCACAAUGUUUGUCAGCUCGCUAUAUAAUCAACUUGAUAAUGUUAAAUCCAUCAUGCAAUGCAUUUCCUUCCAAUUUUUUGUGAUAAACUAAUAGAUAAUUGACUAAAUAAACAUCCUGCAAAGUUUCAAUAAAAAUUUCUAAGUUUUUCUUACAAUUUCCGUGGUUUCCAUGUAAUUUUUAUCGAUAUCGAUAUUUUACCGAUAUUUCCAUCGAUAUUUCCGUGUUUUCAGACUACCGAUAUUUCCGAUAUUACCGAUAUUUAAUACCAUGGUCACAGGUGAAAUCAAAGGAGGGACUUGCAUUAGCUUAUAAGAGGUUGAACUAUUCCCUAUAUUGCCAAUUUGUUUAAUUUUAAGGUGUGUUAUCCACACACCCUUUUUCACUUUUCACACACCUUAAUUUUUUGUCGUCAAAUUGAAUAAGUUGAAGAAGAUCAACUAAAUUAAUAAAGGAUGUCUGAAAAGUCCACACAUCCCUUAAUUUAUGAUGGAACCUCAACUUUCUUCAGACACCCAUGGCCAUGAGACUCACACUGCAUCAAUAGCAGCAGGGAACUUGGUCAGCAAUGCAAGUCUAACCAUUUAUGUUGGACAAGGAGUUUAACCAUUUAUGCUUAGUACUGAUCACUUCGGUUCUUUGGAUGAAUGUAUGUAUAGGUAUGGAUGGUGUGGUGUCUGUUUUCCCCAGUGAAAAGAAGAAGCUCCUCACAAGAACGUUAUGGGACUUUAUUGGGUUCCCGGAAAGAGAGUCGAGUAGCAACAAUCUUGACGAAAGCAAUAUCAUUGUAGGAGUGACUGAUACUGGAAUUUGGCCGGAAUCUGACCUAAAAAUGGGAAGGCACAUGACAAUCCUAAGCCAACAUUACUUGUAAUUUGUAUGGCAAACUAGUUUGUUGUCUGUUACUCCAAUCAUCAAUACAUCUAGAAUGUUUUUUUUUAUCAAAUUUGAUCAUGUGAAAUGAUGACUUUUGAAAACAUUAGGAAAUAGGAAAAGCCUAUAGUUUUCAAAUAAGGCUUUGGAUCUCAUCCGGAUCUAAAUUGUGGGGAUCAUAGGGAUCCUCAUAUCCUAACUAUUUAUCGUACAUCGUGCGACCAGAAAUCAUUUUAAAUUUUUUAUUUAAAAAUUAAACGCAAAUAGUACCUAACGAAAACUGAUCGCACGUUAUACGAUGAACGAUUAAGAUGUGAGGAUCCUUAGGCCAUCUCCAAUCGAAGGGUCCAGAGGGCCAGAUGGUUGAAAGUACCAAGAUGUUCAAUCUCAAUGACCUUCUCUUUAACUUUGUCUUGAACUUUCAGAUAUUCGAUGUCCAUUAGCCUCGAUGCUUUUGAUCUUCUUUUGGUACCUUAGAACUUUCUUUCAGAUAUUCGAUGUGAUUCAAUUAUUUGUCAAAUGAUUGUUUUUUUUUUUAAUUUUAUUUAUUUUUUUGAACAAAAAAUAUUAUCUACACUAAGAGGGAGAAGGGGUGCUUAGCCUCACAAUUGGCUAGCAAUAAUGUGAUUCAAUCAGUUAUUUAUUAAAUAUUAUUCUCUCUAUUUUUAAACACAUUUAAAACAUCUUAAGAGGUGCAUACCACCGGUGAUAAAAAAAAGGUCUUUCUGCCGGUUAUAAAAAAGGCAUUUUGCACGCGCAUAACAAUGUGAUUCAAUGACACACCUCGACUCGAAAUGUCCACUAGGACUCUGAAUCGAGCUGUGCUAGUGGAAGGUGACGAAGCCAUAAAGUAUAGUGCUGUGGAAAAUGUGAAUAAAUUUAAACCUAAAAGUGUUUAAACACAAGAGUGCGCUGUGAGCGGGAAUGAACUCAUUUCACACGCGACAUCAGAGCAUAAGUAAAGUACAGUAGUGUUGGUAAGGAUCAUACCCUCAAAGGUAGCCACCUAUACUGAGAUUCGCCAAGAAUCCUCGUCGAUAAGAACUUUCAGUAGCUAAAACCUGGCGGGGCAAAAAAACAAGGGUGAGUGAGCCUGAAAACAAAGUUUUAAUAAAAACAUUUUGAAAACGUUUUAACCCCUCGCUGUAAAAUUCGUAUAGUUUCUAGAAAUUAACACUACAUAUAUAUGUAAAACAAUGCACAAAGACAGUAAAAACCAAGUAUGAUCGUUUCAACACUAAAAUAUGUAAGCCAGGUGUGAAAAUCAAGGUAAAAUAAUAUGCCAGCUGGAGUCACCUAACGUGACCUGUAUGACUAAACCUAUAGCUCAUCAAACUAUGUCUGCACACGAGUUGAAACCACCUAAUGUGGUCUGUACGACAUGCUAGCUGUAAAUAAGUACGCUCAAGUGCUACGAUCUCGUGAAGGCUGUGCGAAUAAUCGCAGGUCACCUACGAGUUGGAACCACCUAUUGUGGUCUAUACGACAGGGAUGGCACCAAGCUUGGAUCCAAGGUGAGCGUGCGGUGCAUGAGGUGAACAUUACAUGAAGGACUGUGCCCUGACCUCGGGCGGGAGCACUAACACUAGGGUGCAGCAAUGAUGAGCUCUAAAUGCAUCUAUGCAUAACAAUGUGCAAUACAACCAAUACCAUCACAAUAUACUCACAUGAAGCUUACCUAAGCCUCUGCAGCAUCAAACGAUAUAAUGCAUAACAAUAGUAAUGAAAUACUAAAAAUAUAAUUCAUUCAUGACAUGGCAUUCAAAGCAUAGCUCAUAUAAAAGUGUUUUUGAAAACCGUAAAGCAUAUAUAUAAAUACUAUAAAAAGGAAGAAGACCCACUCACUUAGAGUCUGCGCUACAAUUCCCUAGCACAAACAUCGAGGCGUCACGAACGAUCGGCGCCUAGAACAAUUAUUAAACCACAUCUCAGAAUCCUUAUCAAUAGAACACAUAACUUACAUAAAACACAUCCCCAAGGAUGUUCUAGAAUGAUUUGAGACCCAUUGACCAAAAGUCAACCGUCGGUCAAAGAUUGACAGUAGGGUCUACAACCCUAGAUAAUUCGAUCUGGAAGAUCCGCACCUCAGAUUUUCCAAUCUGUAACUUCCAAAUAUCCACAUUAUGCUUCUAAAACAUCAUACUAAAGUUUUAUUAUGAUCCAACGGUUGGAUCUUCGCCAAUUACCAAAACCAAGUGGCGGUCGAAGUUUUAUUUUACGAACUUUCAAAUCCAACUCAGAAAUACCCGCACUUCGGAUUCCCGAUCUGUAAAUUCCUAUGGUCCUUAAAUAUUGCGUACUAUAAUGUACUAAAGUUUGGUGACGAUCCAACGGUCGGAUCGUCAAUUACUAUUCUAAUCAAAUGGCGAACCUUAAUGGAACUAGGUUCAAACCACAUAAAUUCGUCAAUUAGACUUCACAAAUGGAAUCAGGGUAUUCAAAUUUAGCCUAGGAAGGUUAGGAGACGUCUCUGCCCACACGCUGCCGCACGUGCCACCGCAAGUGGCGAUUGGCCGCCCCGACUCGCAGGAAAAAUCAACUAUUUCUAAAAAUUACCAAAUUUUACAAAGAAGUAGAUAUCAAUAAGGGGAACAAUUUUCAUACCUGUGGCCAAGUCCAAUUUGAUCGGGAAACACCUGAAAUCCACCUCGAUCCGCGGAAACCCUUGAAAUGGGUGUUCUUGACUCGACUCCAAACAAGCUCCGACGACUCAACCAUUGUUUAGGCUUUGUUCCUGUGGUUGAGGGGAGUCUAUUGGUGGUGGUGGUGGUCGACAGGAUUAACUUCAAAUUUUGACGAUUCGAACCCAAAACCGCCACACCCCACCGUGCAGGUUCUCCCAAUAUCAAGGCCAAAUCCCUUGAUUUUUUGGGUGUAAUAGGAAGGGGGAAGGUCAUGAAGGAUUUUCCAAGUGGUGGUUUGAUGAAAUUUUCUGGAAAAAGGACGAUUCAUCGUUGAAAAACCUCCCAAAAAUGGGUCGGGUCACGAGUUAAGGGGAGGGUCCGAUUCUCUCUUUCUUUUCUCCCUCAUUUCCUUUCCUCCUGAUUGGCCGAUUCCCUCCCUCCUUUCUCUCAUUUCUCUUCUCUCCUUCUCAUCCCAACCGUCUAUUUCUUCCUUCCCUUUUCUUUUCCUUUCAUCCCAGCCACACACAUGGCAUUUCACAUGGCUUCAGAUUUUCUGGAGCUUUCUAAAGAAGAUUAAAAUUACCAAAAUAUCCCUAACUUUAAACGUUAAUAUCUCCUUUGUUGUAACUCCAAAUUACGUUCCGAUUGCGCCCACACGUUCGUAACGACAAAUACUACGAGGAUAUGUUAAGAAAAUAGAUCUUACAUGACAUGACAAGGUAGUAAAAAAAAAUCAACGUAUUUUCCUCGAAGGGCAUUUCCGUACAUUCACUCAUUAAAAUUACAAAAAAACUGUAAAAUUGGAAAUGGGUCGUUACAUUCAAUUAGUUAUCAAAUGAUCGUUUUUUUUAACAAACGAUAUUAUCUACACUAAGGUGGAGAAGGUGAGCUUAGCCUCACAAUAGGUUAAUGUGAUUCAAUCAGUUGUUUAUUAAAUAUUAUUUUCUCUAUUUUUUAUGUAAAUUCAAUAGAAUGUAGAUGAAAAUUGAAAGACUGAUUUUAUUAUGUGGAUUUAGCUGCUUUGAUUGGUUUGUGAGGGGUUUCUUAUAGCGUUGUCUAAUAUUAUUCAUUUAGUCCAAAUAUUUGACUUUCUUUUUGUCAUGAAAAUAAAAAUAUUAAAGCAAUUCACGUAUAUAAAUGCAUUUAAAAUGUGUAAGUAGCGCGCAGGACACCGUGAUUCAAAUAUGCCUUCUGCACGCGCGUAAGCGCUUGCAUGAAGGCUAGUGAUACGAAAUGAAAGGACAAGUUUGAAAAUAGACUAUUCAAUAUUUGUGGAAAUCUUUAUUCAGUAGAAUAUCCAAUAGUUCUCAUUCUCCAAUGCAUCUACCAUUUCAUCUCAAAUACAAAGAAAGGUAGGUCUACAAAUAACAAUCAAAGGGAGUACAAAAGGUGACCAAAAUAUAGCCACAUUUUCAAUUAUACAUGAAUUAAAAUUUCCACAGAAUGUGUUGACUUCAUGACUUAGUAAUUUAAAGUCUUGGUCCUUGGAAUGAUUAGAUAGAAAACUAUUUUGGGGACUCUUAAAUUUUGGGACCCUGUGCCAUGGAACCGGUAGGUCCCCCUCAAUAUCAGCUCUAAUUAUGAAUGGAUGUUUAAUCAUAGGUAAGGAAUGAUAGGGAAAAAAGGAAAACGAAAGUAAAGAUGUAAUGUGAAAUUUGUUAGGGUGGCUAGCAAACAAUUUCAUGAAAAUAAAGGUAAAAAAAGAAAAAGAAAAAAAGGAACGUCUAGAAUUGAACUUUUAAUAAAAUGAAAUUAAUCAAAACUGGACGAAAAUUGUUUAACCAAAUUCUUAAGGGGAGUUUUAACGAAAGUCCGCGGUACUGUUUACUUUAACGAAAAACCACAUUUUUACACUAAAAAGUCAAACCUGGUACUUUUCACUUUACCCUUUAUUUUGUCCUUAUCGUUAAAACUCAAAGUUUUCAAACCCUUUUUAUUAGUUUUCCUAUUCUUAAAAGUAAUAGAUGUUUAAUCACCAAAAUUAAAAAACAACGCGUUUAUAUCAAAACGCCCCCAAACUAUGUAAAAUAAUCAUGGGAGCACACCAUACCCCUAAGAAUAAAGAGAAAUUGCAACACGUGAAAUGCAUGGCUUUUCAUUUUUAGUAUAAGCAGGGCUGUCUCUGAAAUUUCGGGGAUCCUAUGCAAAUUUAUAAAAGGGCCCUUCUUAAGAUAAUAUUAAAAAAACUUCGUGGUUGUUUUUCUUUAACAAAAAAACCUAUCAAUAACUCGUUUUUUAGACGAGUCAAUUGUUCAACUUUUUUUUCUUUGGCGUUUCAAGUAGCCACAUAAAUAUUUUUUUAGUAGGUGUUAUCUUUUAUAUCUCAAACAAUAUCAUAAUUACAUUAUACUAAGCAUAUACAAUAAAACCUGAUAGUUCGCAAUGCAUGUGCGUCUAGUGGUUUUUGUUUACUGCUCCCCUCUUGCUAUGACAAUUACUUGAUUAAUUUUUAUGAGUUUUGCCCUAAAAAGUACAAAAGGAAAAAAAUAUCAUUAUUAAUAAAAAUACCUAAAUCUUCUAAUUCCAACUUAAUAUACUUGAACUAGUAAUACCUUAUUUUAAUCGAAGUCUACACCACUCUGACCACUUCAAUUGUCUUCGUGAUUUGGAAAAUUUUCUUCAAUGUUAGGAAAUUUUGAAUUUAGGGUUUAAUGGUUUGUGUAAAAAAAGUGGUGAGGAUGGGAGAUACAUGGGAAGUGGGAGAGGGGGCGUCUGGAUGAGAGAGAGAAGUGGAUCAUGACUCUUGGAGUGAGAAUUGAGAAACAUUAUGAAUAAUAUCAUUAUUUUAUAAUUUUUAUAAAUUUUUUUAUGAUUUGAUGACUUAUGUAGGCAUUCAUGUAGCUUGUGGCUUGUGGGCCCACUAGGAUUUUUAUAUCUUUUAUGUGGUUCUGAUUAGCCUUUUUAUUUAUAUAAAUAAUAUAAUAUUAUUUCAUAAGAUAAUCGAUUAGAUAGAAAACGGAAAAAUUAGUAUUCGGUCCCUAGUUCUUACUGUUCAUUGACUAAGACCUUAUUAAUUCUUAAAUUUUGAUUCAAGUCCCUAGCAAUAAUGUGAUAAUGAAUUUACAUGUUUAUUAUAUAAUUUUUUAAUAUAAAAAUUAGUAAUUAAUUUAGGGUUUAAUACUCACACCUCUACUAAACUUCUAAUUAAUUUUCAAUUCAAACAUUUCCAAAAUAAUAAAAAAUUAAAUUAAAUUAAGUUUGUACCUAUUAGUUUUUUUUUAUAUAUAAAAAGAUUCUCAAUUUUUUAAUCUUAAAUGUACCCAUUCAUAUAAUUUUUCAAUUUUUUUAAUCUUAAAUGUACCCAUUCUCAAAUAUAUCAAUUUGUUAUAUGUCAAAUGUACCCUUUUUUUUUAAUAUAAAAUCCAUUCAAAAAUUUUAAUCCAUGUUUAAACUUAUAUGGGUACAUUCUUUUUUGUUGAUUUGAGAAUGUAUCCAUGUUUUGGUACAAUAACUUUUUUUGUUAAUUUUGGUUAAUGUACCCAUACAUAUAUGUAUAUACACACACACACACACACAAUAUAAUAGAGAGUAUAAUUUAUAUUUUAUUAUUUUAAUCCCAUAAAUUAUGGGUUUUAUUUAAAAUCUCUUUAAUAUAAACAAUUACAAAUUUUAAAUUUUAAUUUUUAAUUUAAAAAAUAUAGUAAUGUCAGGGACCUCAAUAAAAAACUAAAAUCUAACAAGAUUUCAAUCAAAGAAUAUUGAUAGUUAGGGACCGCAUCCAAAGUGUCUCGAUAGAAAACUAUUUUGGGGACUCUUAAAUUUUGGGACUGUGCCAUGGAACCGGCAGCUCCCCCUCAAUCUCAGCUCUGAUUAUAAAUACAUGAUGGUGUUCUUGGAUGAGAUUCUCCAUCUUUUACAUGCUUUCUAGAACUUCGCUACAAUGGCUUUAACCCCAUGGUUUCUCCUUCUCAUCAGCCUCAUAUCUACUCUGCCAGUUGAUGUCACUCUAUCUGCUGCUCACCAGGAUACCCGGAAGGCAUUCAUAAAAUAUGCAUUUUGAACAAUUCCGUUUCUCUGCUCUAAAUAUGUUCAUUAAUUAAUUUAAUCUUCUGAUCUUGGAUAUAUUAACUGCAGGAUUAUAUUGUGUAUAUGGGUGACAAGCCAAAGCCAGAGGUUUCCACCACUACCACAUCAGCUUUUCAUGUAAACAUGCUACAAAACGUCAUCGAUGACAGGUUUAAUUAAUUAUCACAUAUGAUAGUGAGCUUAGUUAUAUAUACUGAUCAGUGUUUUAAAAUACUCGCAUCGAGGGCCUUAGUGGGUGGCUUGCCGUCUCUAUUUUGUGGGAGACGGCGAAAAACUCGGAUAGCUUCGUCGGGGCGUGCCUCAGGAUGUUUGAUUUGGCGUCAGUUUUGUUUAAAGGUUGUCGAAAUCUGAAAAAAAAAAAUUGAUUGAAAUCUGGGUUUUGUUUUCAGUUGCAUAGCAGUCUGAAGAAGAUGAAGAAGACCUCAAAAAUUGAUUGAAAUCUGGAUUGAAUUCUGGAUUUUUCUUUUUUUUUUUAUAUUAUUUUUUUCACUUUAUUAACCGCUGUUAAAUCAUAUCUUUUAGCAUAUUCUAUUUUGUAAGUUUUUGUUUUUUAUAUUAUUUAAUAGAUAUUAAAAAAAAUAAAAGAUAAACAGAGAAAAUAUUUUUAUUUUUAUGAAGUAUAUAGACCUAAAAAAACCUCAAAAGUGUUGGGUUUUAAAGAGACUUCACUACUUUGGAGAUAAACAUCUCCAAAGAAGAAUGUAAUGCAGCGGAAAUUGAUAGGCAAGAGAAAAAGAACACUCAAGGUAUAACACACAAAAACCUUUUAUUCUCACACAAACUAAUACAAGAGGAAUCACUCAAAACACUCUUAGAAGCUAUGGAUGCUUCUUCUACUUAUUCUCUUUUCUUUUAGGUAGAGAGCCUUCUUGUCUCUCUUACUUCUUCUUCUUUCUCUUUUCUUCACUUCUCAUUCUUAAACAUAACAACAUACUCUAUUUAUAGGCAAGUAUAACCAACCAUACCAAGUGUGAAUACCAAGUGUGAAAUCAUCCUAGCCAUUAUUCAUGACUCUACUAAAAGUAGCCCACCACCA